Molecule: small nucleolar RNA, 138 nt
Organism: Bombina bombina (fire-bellied toad)
Lineage: Eukaryota; Metazoa; Chordata; Amphibia; Anura; Bombinatoridae
Source: RefSeq, a predicted model, not a curated record
GGUGGCUCUCAUCCAACAACUCAUGGUAGCCAUGUAUUAGCUGCUGUGAGCAAUAAUGAGCUAAGACAAAGAUUUCCUUGACGGUCGCUGCUCAGCUUAAUUGGUAACUGACUAGCAACAUUUCAGGAAAUUACAAGU